CAUGUUGAGCAGCUGAGCUGACAUCUCCUCCCUCAGUAUGACAGACAAACUCUCCUUCCUGCUGCUGUCUCUCUGUCUGCCCUGUCUGAGUGGCCAGACUCUGGAGUCCAUUCCCUCCAGUCCAGUACUGAAACAGCCAGGAGAAACUCUCAGUCUGUCCUGUAAGGGAGCUGGGUUUACUUUCAGUAGCUAUGGCAUGCGCUGGAUAAGACAACCAACUGGCAAAGCACUGGAAUGGAUAGGUGCCAUAUGGAGUGAUGCUAGUGGAACUUCUUAUGCAAAAAGUGUUGAAGGAAGAAUAGAAAUCACCAAAGAUAACUCCAAAAGUUUGACGCACAUGAAGUUGUCUGCCCUAAGAGCUGAGGACUCUGCUGUGUACUACUGUGCUAGAGACUCACAGUGAUGUGUGAGAGUGGAUGA
Osmerus eperlanus (European smelt) is the source of this 420-nucleotide non-coding RNA. The record is from the annotation of a RefSeq genome assembly. NCBI's taxonomy places the organism in Eukaryota, Metazoa, Chordata, Actinopteri, Osmeriformes, Osmeridae.